This 73-nucleotide transfer RNA is filed under the name Mus musculus (house mouse). It matches the Rfam family "tRNA". Rfam says of the family: Transfer RNA (tRNA) molecules are approximately 80 nucleotides in length. Their secondary structure includes four short double-helical elements and three loops (D, anti-codon, and T loops). The record is from Rfam by way of RNAcentral. Lineage: Eukaryota; Metazoa; Chordata; Mammalia; Rodentia; Muridae.
AGGGGUGUGGCUAAAUCGGUAGAGUGCUUGCCUAGCACACAGGAAACCCUGGGUUCCAUUCUCAGCACUGCAU